This 352-nucleotide long non-coding RNA is filed under the name Zea mays. Its description in RNAcentral is "long non-coding RNA (ZMAY_LNC005019)". The record is from RNAcentral. Lineage: Eukaryota; Viridiplantae; Streptophyta; Magnoliopsida; Poales; Poaceae.
CAGUGUUGCGUCAACAAGCAGAGUACCAUCAAUUAGUCUUGAGGGAACAAUUGGAGUACCAGAGGCAACAAUCUGAGGACCAGAGGCAACAAGCCGAGUACCAGAAGAAGAGGGACGAGUAUUAUGCAAACCUCCAGGCCCAAAAUCAAGCUCUUCUCUCGGUAAGCUGAAGUAACAUUUUGUAGCUUAUUUUGUAAAACACAUGAUGUGUAUCUUAUUUGCUCAACAAUGACUUGUAUAUAAUUUGUAGCAACUAGCCCAACAAGCGGGCGUCCCGAUGCCCACCUAUGGGAUGCCGCCUCCGGACUUUGCACUUCCGAUGCCAAUGCUUGCGCCUCCACCUCCGCCUCCG